UAGGGAAUCUUCCACAAUGGACGCAAGUCUGAUGGAGCAACGCCGCGUGAGUGAAGAAGGCUUUCGGGUCGUAAAACUCUGUUAUUGAAGAAGAACGUGUGUGACAGUAACUGGUCAUGCAGUGACGGUAUUCAAUCAGAAAGUCACGGCUAACUACGUGCCAGCAGCCGCGGUAAUACGUAGGUGGCAAGCGUUGUCCGGAUUUAUUGGGCGUAAAGCGAGUGCAGGCGGUCUUUUAAGUCUGAUGUGAAAGCCUUCGGCUUAACCGAAGAAGGGCAUCGGAAACUGGGAGACUUGAGUGCAGAAGAGGAGAGUGGAACUCCAUGUGUAGCGGUGAAAUGCGUAGAUAUAUGGAAGAACACCAGUGGCGAAGGCGGCUCUCUGGUCUGUAACUGACGCUGAGGCUCGAAAGCGUGGGUAGCAAACAGGAUUAGAUACCCUGGUAGUCCACGCCGUAAAACGAUGAAUAC
This 470-nucleotide ribosomal RNA is filed under the name uncultured bacterium. Its description in RNAcentral is "partial 16S ribosomal RNA". It matches the Rfam family "Bacterial small subunit ribosomal RNA", at positions 355 to 816 of the family's 1533-position model. The record is from RNAcentral.